This is a non-coding RNA of Pelobates cultripes (western spadefoot toad), 274 nucleotides long. Lineage: Eukaryota; Metazoa; Chordata; Amphibia; Anura; Pelobatidae. The record is from the annotation of a GenBank genome assembly.
GGGGGUGACUAGGGACAGAGGGGGUGACCAGUGACAGAGUGAGGAAGUGGGUGACACAGUGACAGAGUUAGGGAGGGAGUGACUAGUGACAGAGAGAGGGAUGGGGUGACUAGUGACAGUCACCCCCUCCCUCACUCUGUCACUAGUCACUACCUCCCUCCAUCACUAGUCACUCCCUCCCUCUGUCACUAGUCACUCCCUCCCUCUGUCACCAGUCAUCCCCUCACUCUGUCACCAGUCAUCCCCUCACUCUGUCACUAGUCACCUCUAGUGA